CCGCUCCCUCCCAAUAAGCCACCGGAUCUCCUAGUGAGGAGGCCGGGACCGCCGGAUCCGGUGACCCCGGUCUCCUCGCCGGCGGAUCCGUGUCAGAAGUGGAGAUU
This is a microRNA precursor of Oryza sativa Indica Group (long-grained rice), 107 nucleotides long. It matches the Rfam family "MIR1846 microRNA precursor family". The record is from Rfam. NCBI's taxonomy places the organism in Eukaryota, Viridiplantae, Streptophyta, Magnoliopsida, Poales, Poaceae.